Long non-coding RNA from Bombus pascuorum, 351 nucleotides. RefSeq lists it as uncharacterized. The transcript has 2 exons. The record is from RefSeq and is a predicted model, not a curated record. Lineage: Eukaryota; Metazoa; Arthropoda; Insecta; Hymenoptera; Apidae.
UAAAUUUUUGGUACAUCUAAAUGUCUAUUUUGCAAAUAGUGGUAUUAUUAAAUAAAAAUAUGUACACUAAUAUCUUUUUUAGAUAACAUUUAGCAUUGGGAUUUAUGCUGGUAUAUAUAUAAGUCAAAACUAUGAGAUACCUCGUAUAGAUGAGCCUACUAAGAUAAUAGAACGAAUAAAGGAAAUUACAGAUGAAUAUAAAAAAAAAUAAUUAAUAAUGAUUUAUCUAAUAAUACUAUUAUUACGUUUGUGGAAUAUGUUUUAAUCCAUUUUAUUGUACAUAUACGUUUAUAUAUAUAAACAUGUAAUACAAUUUGAUUUGGUUUGAUUUUAAUAAAACAUUUUAUGUAA